AUGUCUCGAAUCAACUGUUCAUCCCAUUGUGUGGUGACUGGAUCAAUAAGCUCAACUACUCUUGAUAUCACCGUAUGGCCUCGCGGGGUUAUUACUUUCCUAUCCGGACUCGAGGGAAUCCACGGGUCAUCCCAAAUAUUUACAUUCUCCCCCGAGCCGAUUCGCCAGAUAAAACCUCUUUUAAAAGUAGCCAGUCCUGCAACGAUGCUCUGCCAAGUAAAGGAAGCACCAUUUUUGGGACCUGCAUGCAACAAAUCAGUGCUUGGAAAAUACUUUGCCUUCAGAAUCCUUGCACAAAUAGAAUCUGGGUUGAUAAUCAUUCUCCAACACUGUUUUGCAAGAAGUGCCAAGUUGAAAGAAUGUAAGUCUUUAAAUCCCAUGCCCCGUCACUCUUUGGGAUACACAAUUUUCACCAUGAAAACCAAUGCAUUUUUUUAUUUUCCUCAUCAUCUCCCCACCAAUAUUGAGCAAUAA
This 474-nucleotide ribosomal RNA is filed under the name Triticum aestivum (bread wheat). RNAcentral describes it as "partial small subunit ribosomal RNA". Lineage: Eukaryota; Viridiplantae; Streptophyta; Magnoliopsida; Poales; Poaceae. The record is from RNAcentral.